UCCAAAAAGCAUUUGCCAGAUUUGGGUGUUUGAAAGACUGGCUGGAAAUUCUCUACCGGUUCGUCAAUGGUCCACAAGUUGGGCAGAAUCAAAUUUGACGAUGGCAAAGAUGGAGAGGCAGCAAAGGAGGAGAGAGCUAUUCUAUUUCUAUAGAUUGAUGGUGGAGAGAAAGAGUCUAAAGUAAUGGAGAAUGCGAGGAGAAAAUUCAGAAUUAUGAAAGACGAAAAAGGACCGAUGCUGCAAGCCAUCACGGCAUCUAACCGCCACUCCGGACACGAAAUCCGCCGAAAGAAAGUUUUCAAGGAAACUCCUUGUGCGCCGUUUCUUAAGCAAGACUGCGCUUUUACACGCAACUCUCACUUAUUUGGAGGGCUUCUAGAAAAACUGUCCACAUGCAGGUUCUUCCAUC
Long non-coding RNA from Corylus avellana, 409 nucleotides. RefSeq lists it as uncharacterized. NCBI's taxonomy places the organism in Eukaryota, Viridiplantae, Streptophyta, Magnoliopsida, Fagales, Betulaceae. The record is from RefSeq and is a predicted model, not a curated record.